CCUACGGGUGGCAGCAGUCGGGAAUAUUGCGCAAUGGAGGAAACUCUGAAGCAGUGACGCCGCGUGCAGGAAGAAGGUUUUCGGAUUGUAAAAUGCUUUAGACAGGGAAGAAAAAAGACAGUACCUGUAGAAUAAGCUCCGGCUAACUACGUGCCAGCAGCCGCAGUAAUACGUAGGGAGCAAGCGUUAACCGGAUUUAUUGGGUGUAAAGGGGGCGUAGACGGAGAAGCAAGUUAGUGGUGAAAUCCCUCGGCUUAACUCAGGAACUGCAACUAAAACUACUGCCCUUGAGUACUGGAGAGGAUGGGGGAAGUGCUGUGUAGCGGUGAAAUGCGUAGAUAUUAGGAGGAACACCAGUGGCGAAGGCGACUUUCUGGACAGUAACUGACGUUGAGGCACGAAAGUGUGGGGAGCAAACAGGAUUAGAUACCCUGGUAGUC
This 440-nucleotide ribosomal RNA is filed under the name uncultured bacterium. RNAcentral describes it as "partial 16S ribosomal RNA". It matches the Rfam family "Bacterial small subunit ribosomal RNA", at positions 338 to 795 of the family's 1533-position model. The record is from RNAcentral.